CCUCAUGGAGCGGGGGUGUUGGGGUGGGGGCAGCCCCUGGCUGUGGCUCGAGCAGGGCCAGUGCUUCACCUUUCAGGGACACUUUGGAGAGGAAGCUUGGGCUGGUGGUGUCUGAGGAGGGAAGCUGCUGCUUACACGGCCCACAGAUUGAACACACCCGGGUUGUAAAGGGCAGUGCUGGUGGCCUUCAUGAUGCCACUUGAAGGCCAAAUGGUGUGCUUACUUCUAUGUCUGACUGUGGGCGAAGCCCAUUCAUAAAUGUCGCUCUUGGCACACCGUGGCCCGUGCAUGCGUGCUGCUGGAUGGCAGCUUUUCUAGCAGUGGUGUUUUUGGUAAAAACUUGUUGUGAGAGGUCUGUGCCUCCUGCCUUUUGUCCUUCAGGUUGCACACUAAGCUCUCAUUCAUUGUCACAGACCAGGUGUUUUGGUGUCACUGACCCCCGAGCCCAGACAUGUGGGCCAGACCCCAGGGAGCCAGUCAAGCACGAUGGAUGGAAGCACAUUCUGUGGCUCUCAGAGCAUGUGGUUCUCUUCUGCAGUGGAGACGGACCAGUUCUCCUGGGCCCUGCCGUGAUAAUAGCCGACGCGGUCACGCUGCAUGACAUCGGAUGCUGACGGAGAUCUGCCCGAAGGCCCCGGGGCUUCUGACGUGUGGAUGACAGCUCGCGUCGGUCAGGGUGCUGGUGUCACCGCGUCAGCUUUGGGUUGCCGAGUGCCAGGGGUCUUCUGCUCUCUGUUUCUGCCACAGCAACGUGAUAAGUGCGGUUCCGUGUGCAGAGAUAAGGGACCAUACUCGAUAAGGCUUCCACUGCCAUUGGUGCUCUAAUCGGACCACUAGUAAACAGCAGCUGACUGAUGAGUUUCCGGUACUUUCUCCUUCCCUCUGACGAGAGCCAGGCGGCUCUUCAGGGGACAGCAAGCAGCCAGGCGCCGUGGGCGGUGGGGUCUCCAUGGCCUGAAGCACAGAGCACAGCUUUCACAGCCACUAGAAUUUCUGUACUGAGGGUUCCCCUAUAACCCACAGUGGCUCCCCAAAUUGUUCAGAGAUGGGCCAGGGCUUCAAGGACAUGAAACGGGAAAAACCAAACACACCCAAAGUAGCACUGGUAACUUAGGAUGGAAAUAAUAUUUUAGUAUAUUUCUAAGAAAUUGGCAUAAAUUUUAGAACUUGUGGAAUCAAUUCAUAAUUAAUAAUUAACUGAUAUUUUACAUUAAUUUCAGUUAUUCAUUCCUUAUCAAUGAUUAAUGACAUUAAAUAAUUAUUAAAUUAUUUUGAUGACAUUAAAAUCAAUUUAAUGAUGACUUUAAUAUUAAAGUUUAGAAUUAAUACUUCAGAAAUAAGUUAGUAGAAAUGUAGAAACUUGGCUUGAAUUUUAGGAAUUAUAAAGGUUUUGUACUAGAUGAACUAUGUUUUUUAGUUAAAAUGUUUAGUCUUAGCUGGACUGUCUUUGUUCCCAGCAGAAAUUUUAGACGUUUUGGGGUGUUUUUUUUUUCUUGUCUGAUUCACAUGGCCCCUUUCAUCAGACAAAGAAUUUUUCAGACCUGAUUGAAUCAUAGUCAUUCUUUGAAUAUCAAGAAAGGAGAAAACAACAAGACUCCGUAUUGUUAGGAUGUCAGCUCUUCUCAGCUUGAUCCGCAGAUUGAACUCAAUCCCAAUCAAAACCCCAGCGUGUUAUUUUGUGCAAUCAACAAACUGAUUUUAAAGUUGACAUAAAAAAAAAAAAAUAAAGUUGACAUAGAGGCGAAAGAGCAGAAUAACCGACAGUGUUAAAGAACAAAGUCGGAGGGCUGGCGCUGCCAGACUUACUAGGUAUUACACAGUCUGAAUUGUUAUCUUUUUAGUAGUGAUUUCAAAAUCUCAUACCCAUGCGAUGGGAUCCUUACCGCCAUCAACUCUAUGGUUGUCUGGAGGUGAAAUGCAUUUAUGUGUGUAGCUACAUGUGAUUAGCGUGUGUCUAAUUCUAUACUCAAGUUCCAUUUGAAAAGUAUGAGUUUUAAGACCAAAACCCCACUCCUGGCACAUCUGGGAGCACACAUCUAUCCUGAGAAGUGAAGUGUUCUUUACAAAGCAGUCAUGAGAUGCAAUUGACCUUGGUCUCGAGACUUGGCCUUUGGUUUUGAAAGCCCUGCUGUCCGAAUGUUGGGGAGAACGGAUGGUAUAGUGCCUCAUUGCCUUCCAGGGAUGGGGCUCCGUGCUCAGGCCCCUGCUUCCUGGCCCUGCUUCUGCUGCUGGCAGGUGCACCCCAGGGGCGGCCACCGUCUCUCCAGGUUCAGACACCACUUGUACAAAUGAGGGCUCACCAGGGAGCCAAAGGCCCCAUCCUGAUCUCUGCUUCUGUGUGUGAAUAUUUACAGAUGGCCUAGGUUCACUUACACUUAUUUUCUUCCCCCUCACGUGCCCCUUCCGUGUUUCCUUUCAGAGGGUUGGACACCCAAGUACAAAACUCUGCACUCUCCCGUCUGUUUGCACAUAGGUAGACAAAUAGUAAAGUCCCUACGCAGCCAUGUAGAAAAGUGGUCAGCACACAUGUCUUAAUUUUACUAAUCACUGCAGAGCAGUUCAGAGGGCAUGACGCACACCCUGGCUAUGGAGAAUGUCAGCAAAGUGGGAGGAGGUACAAGCAGCCGGAGGACUGUGCAGCCCCGGGUGGGAGGUAUGGAGAAAGGCCAGAAGCCCGAUGCCUCCACCACCAAGUCCUGAACUGGGGUCAAGAGAAGUGGGUCGUGUGUUCUCCUGGAACUUGUCCUGUGGGGCCUUCAUCUUGAUGGAGAAAUGACUGGAACCUUCUCUCCAGGAUUAGUGAAGGUCAGAAGAAGGGUGUGUGGAGGCACCCGCUGGCCCCCAACAUGGAUGCUGCUAAUAGUGCUCAGAUGGACGGAUGGACGGGCCCUGUCUCCCAUUUGAAAACUAGCAGAGCAAAGGGGUCUUUCCUUAGACUUUUAUUUGGGGCCCUUUUUAGCCUCUGGUUGAAUCGUAGUCUUUCCAGGGAUGGCCGUGGCUGUGGAGUCUCACCCCUCUGGGCCCGUGUCUUCAUUUGAAUCAUCACUGGGUGAACUCAAAGCCAGAACCUGCGGGAUCAAAGUGGCAGGAAAUGUCCCACCGGAGCCUCGAGGCAGACGCGGCAGCACCGUGCCUGGGGAAGGCGUUUGAGUCAUUGCCUGGCCUUUAUGUUGUUGUUCCUGGAACAGAAACAGAUACACGCUACCCAGCGUACCUGUGUGCCAGGACUUUCAAGCAUCACUUUCUGUCAGCUGUGGCACGUUUAAACACCCCAAAUAUUUCAGGAGACAGUUAACUUGUGUGUUUUAAUAAAGACGUGCGUGUUGGG
This 3328-nucleotide long non-coding RNA is filed under the name Canis lupus familiaris (dog). RNAcentral's name for it is "lncRNA (ENSCAFG00845013258.1)". The record is from RNAcentral. Lineage: Eukaryota; Metazoa; Chordata; Mammalia; Carnivora; Canidae.